This is a long non-coding RNA of Equus caballus (horse), 2401 nucleotides long. The record is from Ensembl. NCBI's taxonomy places the organism in Eukaryota, Metazoa, Chordata, Mammalia, Perissodactyla, Equidae.
GACUUGCUCUCGAGUUCAUCCCAGGCCCCACUCUUACCUGUGCUGGACUCCUGGCCCCUGGACUCAGUGGUGUUAUCUGACUGGCCGCUCCAGGCUUCUGAGGGGGUGGUCUCUGGUCUUAAGUGCAGACAGCUCCCAGGCCUGGGGGUUGGGGUGGUGAGGAGGCGGUGGAAUCCGCUUGGGAGUGCACAGGGCUUCCAGGAGGAGUCCUUGUCAGACACAAGCCCUGAAGAAUGGCUAGUCCCUGAGCACUGGCAAUCCUGACCCACGGUGCGAUCCAAGCACAGCACGUGUGGUGUGCACGAGGGCCCUUGCAGAAAUCCGUGUGUGCUCUGUUUUCCAAAGUCAGUGUUUUGGCAAAGGACAGACAUGACGUGGAAAGGAAAGUUUUCACGAACUUAGGAAUCAGGUUCUUCAUACACGUGACAGUGGAGGCUCAUCACCGAUCAACUAGAGUUAGACUCUGCAUCUGCAUGUUUAAGAGUUAACUAACCCUGGAUCCUUGACAUACAAUCCAAACAUACUCGUGGAAAUUCAGCAUCUUUGCGAUAGGCACAGAAAGCCUUAGCCAAGGCAGUGAAUCUCACUGACAUUCAAAGAAUUAUGUCUGACAACUGGAUUUUGAGCAAUUAUUCUUCCUCCUUGUUGGAUGGGGCCUUGGACCCAACAGUAAAUAUUUGUGGCCUCAAGUUGAGUAGAGACACAAAUAUAGUGUAACCCUCUAAAUGCUUUGCUAACCCUCACCAAGGAGUCAAGACCUCGCCGAUCCCUUCAUCCCCCACCCUGUCAAAGCCCAAGGCCGGCAGGAGCCUGGGCUCCCACUGAGCCGCCUCCUUCAGGCCACAGAUCUGCGAUGGCCACAGCACCUCUGUCUUCUCAUGCUAGCUCCGUCCUCAGAGAGAUGCCAGCAGGAUGGUACAAGCUCUGCCAAGGAAGGUCUUGGGAAAGUCAAGCAUCAUCAUUAUUAAUUCCCCGCUGUUUGCCUGGGAUGGAAGCCACUGGAGCACCAAUGGAAGAGUCUUGACUCCAAUAAAUAAACACGUCCUUUGGGCAGAUGUCUGGACUGCUCCGGCUGCUGACUGAUGGCCCCUCGCCAUGACAGUGGGCGCACAGGGACAGCCCAAAGGCUCUGCCUCGUCACAACAAGCAGGCUGGAACCUGGGCCCGGUUUUAGGGCCAUCCCUUUGAAAUACACUGACAGCUUAAUGAAGUGAUAUUUAUGGAACCCAUGCCACUGGGAAGACGGCUGCUCCUUUUCUCCGUCUUCUAUUUUUAAUAUUUGAUCUGGCAAAUGCAUUAUUAAAGGAAUAUUUCAAAUCUGAUUACUCUUCUGUUUGACUGUGUGUUAUUCACGCACGCUGGGCGCCAGGGGAAAUUAUACCGACCAGUCUGGGAGCUUUACGAUGUUAUUCUUUCAAACAGCCCUCUGCUCCGAGUCUGAUUAAUUCACGUGAGAGGCUGUGGGCCCCCUCGCCUUAAUCACAGUGGCCUCCUCCUUUCCUCCCAGUCUCCCUCAAGGCCUGUUCCGGACUCUUCUCCUGGGGCUCAGGAACCUCCUCUCUGAGAAGCGGUCUCCCUGGAUAUCCACAAAGUCGUUCUGCUGUGGUUUUGGUUAAUCAUUGAAUUGUUAACUGAGCCUCAGUCUUCUUCAUAAGGCACAGAACAGUGGGCAGGAACUCGGAGUGUGCCCUGACACGGCCUCACCUGGGUUUGAACCCUGGGUCCAGCCACAGGCGUCAUGGUCACUUUCCUGCACGUCUCGUCUCUCCACUUUUCCCUUUGCAAGAGGCUAGCUCCACCUUGGAAGUCUCAAGCCACCUGAUAAAUCUACCCCUGGCUCGGCCUUUAGCAGGGAGCCAGAGAGAGCCUUUGAGCCCCACAGGGAAGAACAUUCAUGGGGUGGGUGCCGCGUGGCCCUGCCAUGCCACUGGGACUCAGGCAAGAGGCUUCGUCUCCAAAGGCAGAGGGGCACAGAGACGAGACUGUAGGCUCAGCUCUCGCUGACCCACUGAAGCCCGUGUCCUGGCUCUAAGACUCUCUGGGCCUCACAAAUCCCAGGGACUUUGGCCAACUAUGUACUUUUUCUGUAAGGGCUAGAUAGUAAAUAUUUUAGCCUUUGCAGGCCAUAUAGUCACUGUCACAACUAUUUGACUCUGUCACGAUAGCACUAAAGCAGCCUUGUAAACCAAUGAGCAUGGCUGUGUCCCAAUAAAACUUUAUAGACAAAAACAAGCAGCGGGCCAGAUUGGUCUGCAAGCCGCAGUGUCCAGACUCCUGCUUUAGACGUCUGCUUGAAUUAGGCAUGUUUUUAAAAAAACUAAAACACUUCAGCUUCAUCUUAAGCAAUACUCAUGAAAUCAGAGGCUUAAUUUCUGAGUCACAUAUAUAUAUUUUUUCCCCA